RNAcentral lists this long non-coding RNA (31761 nucleotides) under Malus domestica (apple). RNAcentral describes it as "long non-coding RNA (MDOM_LNC002057)". The record is from RNAcentral. Lineage: Eukaryota; Viridiplantae; Streptophyta; Magnoliopsida; Rosales; Rosaceae.
AAGCAAUCUCAUGCAACUUAUCCCAACCAAGGAAAGCGCUUUCACUAUCUGCUGAUGAUAAGAAAUUCUGUAGUGAACCAUUUGGUAGAUAUUCAUACACGAGCUGUUGUGUACCCAUCAGCACAAAAACCAACCAAGCGAACCACAUUGACAUGGUGGACUCGACCCAUUGUUCCGACUUCAUUUAUAAAAUCUUUUCCCUUUUCAUUAGAAUUGUUGAGGAUUUUCACAGCUACAAGUAAGUCGGAGGAAAGUCGUCCUUUAAACACUGUUCCAUAGGCUCCUUGACCUAACUUUUCAUUGAACUGAUUUGUUAUCCCUUUAAUAUCAGCGUAGGAAUAUCUACUGGGCUUGUGUGCUAUGUAAUCAUCCAAAAAUCUUUCAAUCCUCAACUGAUUUGUUUUCUCUGUUCUGUUGGAGCUAUAAACACGGUAAAUGAGGGUCCCCGCAACUGUUACAACCACAGAAAGUGAGAAAAUACCUGCAGAUACAGAUGAAACUCUGUGUUAAGAACCAACCCAUUUCUAAAUUAAAUUAAAAUAAAUCACAAUUGCCUCCAACUGAUAAAGCCCCCAGAAAUCAGAAUUGAUUGUAUAUUAAUACUUAUACAUAUAUAGGGUUCUUUUGUGCGGAAGUUAACGUGUAUUUUAUCCGGAUGCUGCCAUAAAAGAAGAACCCUGUCAAGGAUGGGAUCUAAAACUUGAAAAACAAAUGAUGAAAAUUGGUGCCUGUUGAAGCAAGUUCCGACUAGCACCCUAAAAUAUAACACUGGCAUGAGGUUCAAUAAUCCAAACCGUCUUGGAUUUAGUUCUCCAUCUAAGAUUUAUGAUUAUGGAUCACACAAGUGUGCAAAAAUUAACCUAACUAUUAGCAGUUCAAAUUCAAUCUUGUAAAAAUAGUGCUUAUGUGAACAACUUACCAGAUAUCUCUAAGUUUGUCCUUCCAUGGGUACUAUCUGUAAAAGCAGGUUAAUUAAGUCAAUAAUUAGCACUUUUGUUAUCAAAAGAAUAAAAUAGUUGAAGAAUUGUUUGCAUAAAUCUUUGUUUUCAUUUAAUAUAAAAAGUUCUCAUAUAUUCUUUGAGUCCAAAUUUGUUGUAUAUAUUAUCUGCACAAACUAGCUAAUUAAAACCUUGUCAAUGUGAAAAUGAGGGAAAUAUUUUCCGGUAAAGUACUGCAACAAGUCAAGUUAAAUGGGAGAUUAAAGGAUACCUUCGCUCACGCAUUCAGUUUCUGCAGUCUGAUUAUCUGUGAAAUUGUAUUGACCAACAGUUCUCUUCAGUCUGCAAGUCUUGCCCAUCUCUUCGCAACGUCCACAUGAUGGUUUGGACCACUGCAGCAUCAUAAGGUUGAAUGCUUCCACUAAUGAAAUUUGUGGAAUUGAUGUGUAGUCACGCAGCUUGGUACAAGACACUAGGUUCAUAUCAUCAAUGGAACAGUAGCCGUUGACAGCAUAGUAGUUAGUUUGGUUUUCAGGAUUGUCAAGGCCGCAAGGGCACAGUUUGAUUAGACAAAGUCUGCCUGUUUCAAGUAAUGGUGACGUACAACUGAAUAAAGUAUAAGUAGUAUCAAACGGUCCGUGCACAAAUUGAAAGGUCGAGGAAGAUAAGUUGAAUUUGAAAAUAUCUUUAGGCAGGCAAUCAUUUUGGAAAUAUACUCCGAUUUCUUGAGAUGCGUAGUCAAUCGUUUCAACGAUGAGCUUGUUAGAUGAGGACGGCAUCUCAAGCACGGUUCGGCCGUCGGUGGUGCAUGAUAGAUCAAAGCCAUGGUAACCGCACUGGAAUGGCUGUCCUUUAAGUCGAAAUGGGAAUCGGAUGGCUGGACCGUGGUGUUCACAGUAACUUACUUCUUUGCAGUUUUCAGGGACUACUCUGUCGCCAUACACUGUGCUUACAAAUCGAGCAUCUGCUAUCAUGAGAAACCAGCACAAGAAAUUGAUCAGAAGCAUUCUAUCCAAUGAGAAUAUUGAUUGUAGAAGUUCGGUAUCUUGGUAAUUCAUAUAUAUGAUUGUAUAUAAGAUAUGGGAUUGCAGAAGUCCCCUAUGUUUUGGGUAAAUAAUAAUCUCUUUUUAUAUUCACCCCUUCGUUCCAUUUCCUACCCCCAAAACGUUUUUCUAAUUUUUUUAAAUCUUCCACCAAUUUUGUUUUUAACUUCAAUUUGAAGGACUUGGUCGUGAUUUGCUUAUGGGUUAUUGACCAUCGUUAUCAAAUAAAAACUUCUAGUCGCUUUUAUGCAACUGUUACUCGCUAUAACGUGAAAUUGGAAUGCUAGAAACUGUUUCUUCCCCAGAUGGGCCAGAUCAACCCAUUAUUGUACCUAUUAUUCCGAUUUAGAUGAUGUGGGUUCUGUGUUCGUGUGGCUUCAAUAUUGGUCAUUCAACACUGAGUAAUGCUAAGUAGAUUAAAUUUGUAGACUAAAUUUACAAACUAAAUAAUAUGUCAUCAAUAAAAAAUAAGCACGUUAAUCAACACUUAAGUAAUAAUCCAAUUAUCAACGUUUAUGUCAUUGAGUUUAUAAAAUUUAUUCCACAAAUUUAGUCUCCUAGCAUUACCCUUCUAGAAAUUGGAGUUGUUGGUAUAGUUUGUUGUGCAAAUUUGUUCUCUUUACUUUAGCGGGAGAUUUUUUAGUGUGAUCGGAACACGGGAUUGUAUACCACGUGUCACUAUACAAAUGGUGAUAUAUAUGUGUGUUAAAAAGUUAAUAACUUAAAUAUUAAAAUUUUCUACCACUUAUAUAAAAACACGUGGUGUAUCACUCGUAUUCCGGUCACAAUAAAAAUUUUCUCUACUUUAGCCUUGGUUGUUGUUGUUGGAAUUAGUAUUGAUGAGACUUGUGUUUUGCAUACGUUUUUGCAAUAACUAUGGUUGUUAUGUUGAAAAAAUUGUUUAUUAAAGUGUUUUUUUUUUCAUUUAAUAAAAGAAAAAAAAAGGUAAGUGAUUUUUACACACAAUUUUUCUUCUCCUACAUGCACACGUAUAUGUAGAUUUUUGGCCUUUAAAAAUAAAAAUAAAAAAGUGCAGAAAAAGAAAAGAGAGUGGGUGGGAAAUAUAGGGACCUUCCUCCUAAUCCACCAAAUUAGGAAAUUUGUGCCAUUAAUUUGAUCAAUGAUUACAAAUAAGGGUCCAUUUUAAAAAUUAUAAUAAUUUCAACCGUUUGAUUAAAUUUCAAUGAUUUGAAUCAUUUGAUUUGAUGGAUUGGGAAAGGAUAAUAAUUGGGUACUCCAGGGAGUACCUAAUUUACUGACCAUCUUACGUGGCCCAAUAAAUAUAAAACACCUAGCAUUUUAACUCUCUUCUAAUAUUUUUCUAUCUCUGUAACCAAACACAUUUUGUACCCGAGACCAAACACCUCUCUUCUUCUCCAUCUUCUUUCCUUGCCCAGCUCAAUCCUUCUCCUUCUCCGGCAACCAUCUCCAUGCCUUCUUACUUCACUUUUAUUGAUACCAUGGCAGAUCCACCAAAGGUUCUCCGUCUGUUAUAGGUUGACUAAUAUUUUUUUUGUCGAAAUCACUUGCUGAUUGAUGUUGCGGAGAAGUCGGAGAAGAGUAUGGAGUUCAAAUUGACGGAGGAGGGAUGGAUAGAGUGGAGGUAUGCCGUUAUGGUCGACAGUUGGAAGAGUGGGGCUAACGGUUGGAGAAGGGAGCGGAGAUGGAGUCGACGAUUGGAGCAGGGUGAUUGGAGGAAAGAUGUUGGACGGCGGCGGUUCGAAGAAGAACAGUCACGGGAGAGGAGAGCGACAGAGGGAUGAGAGAAUUGGGAGUGAGAUGUUUGGUUGUCUGAUUCAGGAUGUUUGGUUACAGGAAUAGUCUACAUAUCAAAUUGUUUUAAAUUGACACAUGUUUAUAUCUUAUUGGGCCACUUAAGAGAGUGAGGAAGUAGGGUACUCUCCGGUGAGUACGCAAGUAUUUUCCAAAGAGAAAUCAUUUUUGUAAAACAAAAAAGCAGUUGACUAACCAGCACUAGAAGGGCAACUUCCUUGACUAUUUUAAUUAAAGAUUAAUGCUUAGUUUUACUCGUCUCCUGGGUUCUUUGCUUCGUUUGUCAUAAAUAAUGGGCUCCAAGCGACCAAUUUAUAUCUGAAUUCACCCCUUUCUUGCCAUAAGCCAAAAACCCUUGCUCCAUUAAGCUUUUUUGCCCCCUUCCAUAAUUUUGAUACAUUUAUAUUCUCUUUUGCCAUGUGUAGAGGAAGUCUCUUACUAGUUGCAUAUGGAGCCCUUCUUCUACUCUCUCUUCUUCCCUUUAUUUGUUCCCAAACAUCGAUACCUGAAAAAAAUUCUGAUUGUACUCUUUCUUGUGGCAAUAUUGACAUAAGCUCUCCAUUUCGGUUAAAAGGAGACCCUCAACACUGCGGCAACCGUACGUAUGAGCUAACUUGUGAGGAAAAUGUUACAGUCCUCUACUUGUAUAACCGAAAGUUUUACGCCAAGGCGAUCAAUUACAAUAACUUUACAAUCCGAGUUGUGGAUGCUUCUGUUCAAAAGAAAGAUAACUACUACUCCAUCCCACAUUACUCUUUUACCUCAUCCAGCUUUAGUUAUCGGGAUCCUUACAGCACUUCUCUAGUCCGACGACUGACGUGGAGUUCAAAUAUCCCGGACAUAAGUUAUAGUUACACGGCACGGCCUAUAUAAUUUUUAUGAACUGUCCAAAUCCAAUGCAUUCUCCUGGCCUUGUAGAAACAGCUCCAUGCGUCAAGGACGGCACCUGCUCUUCCAAUUCUUCUCUGUCCAAUGGUUUAAGAAUGUUUUCUUAUUCCAUCUUUGGCUGGAAUGGCUCCAUAAGUUCAUUGGAUUUGGGGGAGUCCUGUGAAAUAACGCAGAUGCUUAUGGUCUCACCUUCGUUGUCUGUAGAAGACAUGCAUGAGCACUUGACGUCCUGUGAAGGCAUAUAAAGUGAAAUAGCGCAUGGCUUCGAGCUUUCAUGGUUUCACCAGGCUUGUAGCACCUCAAACUGCAUAGAGGGGAAUUGUGUGCUCAAUAACGUGAGCAAAAUUAAGUGCUUUCGCUAUGAACCCAUAAAAUAUGAACCCAGAAAAGGUAGUGUCUAUUAUUCCUCUUAUUCACAAGGCUAGAGUAACCAAAUUAAUUCAGCAAAUAAUUAGUCUUCAAUUACUGGGAGUCUGUCUGUCUAUGGAGAGUUAGGUUUUACAACUCUAGAAUAAAUUAGGUCAUAUAAAUAUUGACGAGAUGAAUGGGAUGGGAGAUAAACUUUUAUUUCUAUUAAGUACGUAUUCGAGGCUAAAUUUAUUAAGGAAGGAUCGCUACCUUUCUUUUUGUACUUUCUCUUUUGACCUUUUUACUUUAUUUUUUAAGAUCUUACAUAUUACUUGAUAAUCAAAACUGUUUAUUUUGUAUACCACUAUAAACUAAUACUGCAAAAUACCCCAUUAAUCAGAAUUUAGAAUUCAUUUCACUGUUCGAUUAACGAUGUCAUGAUUUUUUGUUUAACUAAAGCACAUGGUUCACCUUUUAUUGAAUUCAUAUAUUGUUAUUUUUUCUAUAUUUAGAAAAUAGGCAGUUUGGAAUACCGAGUAAUAUUGUAAGAUCUUACAAAAAAAUGGAAGGUAAUAAGUGAAAGUGCAAACAGAAGGGUAGCUAGCAUUCUCCUAUGAUAUUAAUUUUCACCCUUUUUUUCUCUUAAUAGGAAAAAUAAUAUAUAUGAUCCUUAAUGAUAAUUCUUCUUCUUUUGCAAAGCAGAACAUUGGUACAUCAAGAUCUUACAGUCCAUACUAUUGGCACUAGGCGAGUGGUUUACUCUCUUAACGCAGCUUCUAUUUAAUACAUGUGCAGUUAGUUUCUUUAUUUGUGGUCACCUUGAUAUUUAUUAAAAAAUUACAUUUGGAAAGUAUGAUCGAUAUUCAUCGCUUUACUGCAGGAACGGUUUUACCAGAUGUAUUUGUCCAUCCGCUAUGGUCAGUUUAUCCCUUGGGACGAGUUGAGUGUGGAGCAAAAAAUAUUCACAAGGCGACACAUGGAUUUUUGGAUAAAAGAGGACAAAAAUACCCUUGAGGCAUACCAGGAUUCCUACACACGAGCAGCGGGCAAUCAUCCGUUAACCAAGUCAAAAAUGCCCAAAGAAGGUAACAAAUAAAAGUUAUUUUAUCCAUAUACUCCACAAGGUAACCAUUCCAAAUAUUCCAUUUAAAUUAGAUUAAUUGGUGAAUUAAUGGAUUUAUUUCCUAAUUAAUCCUUUAAAUCACCAAUUCAAUGACUCAUUAUGCCAAUUAAUCCCCCAUUACAUAACCCAUUACCCAAAAAUCCCAAAUGGCCGGCCACCCUUAUUGAUUUCAUCAUAUUCACCUAUUUUAAUUAGCUAGUUAAUUUGGCAAUAAUUUUAUUUGCUAAAUUAAUUAGUCAAUUAUUUUCAUAACUCCUAAAUUCAACCUAAAUCAAGAACCCUAUUCCUAUAAAUAGGCUCUCAUUCUCACCAAAAAUCUAGGUCAUGACUCUUGCUAAAAUUCUCCAAAGCUCUCAAACACUUUUCUCUCAAAAUUCUAACUUUGGCAUCAGAGGUUCUUCGGCCAAAGCCCUCCCCAUUCAUCGUGGGCGUGUGAGGCUCUUGGCCUUGACCUAAGGUGUUAAUUAUUUUGUAGGUGCAAUUUUGUCCAAGAUCAAGGAGGAAGAAAUUUGCAUCCACAAAUUGGUGCUUUCAUUGAGAGUUGAGAUCCAUACUCGUAGAAGACUCUCGCAUAAAAGGUUUUUUCUCUAUUUUCUAGUCCAUUUGAAUAUUUUUCAUACGUUCUUAUUGUUAGAAUUUUUUAUUUGCAAAGGUUCUUUGAUAAAACGUAUAAGAAAAAUAUAAUGGCUAGAAAUUUAGAAAAUUCCACAAGUGAAAAUUCUAAUACUUAAGAAAUGGGACCGCGACGAUCCACGAGGCUAAAUGUGGUCAUAGGCGGAGUGGUACCACCACUACGAGGUUCCAUCAUGGCCCAAGCAGUGCCAUCCAAGCUUGCACAGGUCCGAGCCCAAGCCUUGCAUUCGUAUGCAUCACACUCUGAGCAGCCUGCUCCCGACGAGCAGUCCACUCUCGUUGUCCAACCUGCUCCCGACGAGCAGCCCACUCUCGUGGCCCAGCCUGCUCCUGCCAAGCAGCCCACUCUCGCGGCCCAGCCUGCUCUCGUGGCCCAACCUGCUCUCGCAGCCCAGCCCACUCCCACCGAGCAGUCUACUCUCGUGGCCCAGCCUGCUCCCGAUGAGCAGCCCACUCCCGUGGUCCAGCCUGCUCCCGUCGAGUAGCCCACUCUCGCAGCCCAGCCUACUCUCAUGGCCGAGCCUGCUCCCACGGCCCAGUUUGCUCCCGUGGCUUUCCAAGCAGCCCAAGUCGGCCCAAGACUAUCUCAACUAUUCGGACCUACCAUCGAGCCAGAGGCAUUCUCACCAUAUUUUUUCUCGGAUUUGACAUUUUCCAACUCAAAUCUCGCGCCCGGAGUCUACCGCAUUUCCACUGCCAAAUGAGGCACAUUUCUUCCAAGUUUUUCCAACCCAAAUGGAGAACAACACUUGUCUCGACAAGUCAUAGAGUUGACGAGCGCCCUUGCAUAGCAGAUGAACUUGGUGAACCAGCUCUUGUAGCACACCGAGAUGCAAUGUGCCCCAGAUGAGGUGUCCCGAAGUAGGACAAGGGCAGACAAAGAACCUCUCCAGCAGCGCCCCGGUAAGCAGCCACUCGACCAGCCACUAACCGAGUGUUCAGGCAGUGUACACUCCCGAUUGGGCCCCCGAGAUAGCGUAUACUCUCGUCUUAGAGCACGGAGGAGCGUGCACUCUCGACUAGGCCCACAGAUAAGCAUACAUUCACGGUUGAGGUCACACUCCGAUAGUCAACAUGAGCAGCCUUCCAAGAGAAGUGUUCAUUCGCGGCUAAGCCCGCAAUGAGCAUCAUCCACCUCACAUCGGAGUAGACAACAUGACGGACAGAGAAAAACAGUCACUCAAUAUGGCUCAAGUUCAACCAGCAACCUGCGAAGAACUCGUUCGCCUGCUAGGAACGCGCUACAUGCACCGCAUAUGCGGCAUAGAUGAGCCAAACACAUGGAAGAACAGCCUAGACCAGUAAGUCAUAAUUGGGGGCAGCCGAGAGUUUCGCUACCCCAACAAAGGUAAAUUCAGGAAGAAGUAGAGAGACUUUUGACCAAGCGAUUGCGCAAUUUCCAACGUAAUGAGGUCACCGAUGAGGCACUACGACGGAACAUGACCAACAUAAGCAGGUCACCCUUCACGGACUAGAUCGAGUAAGCAGAGCCUCCACGCGAGUUCAGCAUGCUACAUUUCACAUCUUUCAAAGGGGAUGAAGACCCGGAUAAACACUUAAAGCACUACCGAAGCGCAAUGAUCCUUUAUCGAAACAACGAUGAUCUCAUGUGUAAGAUAUCCACCACCACUCUACAAGGCGAGGUGCAAGAUUGGUUCUACACCUUGCCGCCACAAUCCAUCUGGAAUUUCGACGAAUUUUCUUUGGUUUUCACCAAAGAAUAUUCAUCCUAUCGCUCGAUCAAAAAGAAGUUCAAACAUUUGUUCGACGUCAAGAAGAACCCAAAGGAGUCGCUUCGCGACUAUGUGAGGAGGUUCAAAGCAGAGAAGACAAAAAUAGUCGGAUGCAACGACUCGAUAGCUAGAGCAGCCUUCCAAAAAGGACUUCCAGCAGACCACCUAUUGUUCGAAAAACUGAUAAUGAAAGAAGAUCUAGCUCUGGCAGACUCUUUCGCUUUGGCAGAAAAGCAUGCACUUUGGGACGAAGUUCGCUGAUGCCCAUUUAAGGCAAAUCCAAGCGAUCUUGAAUAUGAAGUUCCCCACUACUUGGAAGGAGAUUCAAACUCUGACUGGACGAGUAGUCACAUCUGAAGCAGAAAUAAGCUCUACCAUUAUACGAGAAGAGCUGGGGGCCCGACUACCUGUAUUCCAUAGUUUAAAAGCUCUUAUUGAUGUUAUCAGAAAUUCAAAAACUAACUUUGGCGAUAGUUGUUGCAACCCGGAAGCUCAAGUUUUACUUUCAAACGCAUGCAGUCAUCCUCAUGACAUAUUAUUCCACCCAAUCUAGACUCGCGACGAUAAAGACGUAGACCCUGGAGGAUGCAAAGUUUUCUAACGAACGCAACAACUCGGCUCAAAAGACAUGCCCAGGGUAGACGAACACUGGAAGGGCACACUCGGAAGCAAGUUUUGUCCUCGUCACCCUAAAAGAUUCUACAUAGGAGUAACAUGUACCGGCAGUUGAGUACCAUCUCCUGCUGCGCACCACACGGCCCUAGCCGACCCUUGCUCAAUGAUUCAACUCUAGAGUGGCCCAAUACUGGCAGUUGAGCAUCUCAUGUUGCGUGUGACAUGGCCCCAUCUCCACAACUCCCUACUGCGCCUUCACGCCGAGCCUAGGUGACGCAACAGAGCGGCCCAACGAUGCCCCAGAAGUAGCUGAGCACACUCUAGCCACGCCUACUCCACCCGAUGGAGACUUCUGGCAUUUGUAUGUUGACGGCGCAUCCAACUACAAAGGCUCGUAAGCAGCCAUGGCCCUUAUCACCCCAGGCGGUUUGAUGCCCGAGCAGGCAAUCAUUCUAGGUUUCAAAGCAUCCAACAACGAAGCAGAGUACGAAGCCCUACUAGCAGGCCUUUGAAUGACAAAAGACUUGGCGGUGAAAAAGUUUUCAAUUCAUUCUGAUUCCUAGCUAAUCACCAGCUAGACUACUGGGGGCAAAGGCAUGAUGAUCGCGGCAACCGACUACUUCACCAAAUAGGUAGAAGCAAAGCCCAUGACGACCACGAUUCAAACGGACAUAGAGCGCUUCAUAUGGAGGAACAUCAUUUAUCAAUUUGGCUUCCUUAAUCUAUCGUCACCGACAACGGCCCGCAAUUCGUGGGCAAAGAUUUGGCGAAGUUCUUCCAAAAAUAUGGCAUCAAGCAGCACAUGUCUACGCCAAAAUAUUCUCAAGGCAAUAGGCGGGCCAAAGUAUCCACCAAGAUGAUCCUCGACUGCCACAAGAAAUCCCCCACCAAUAAGAAAAGAAAAUGGCCAGACGAACUCCCUGGAUGUCCAUGGGCAUAUCGCACCACCAAAAGACGAGCAACCGAAAGAAGAUGGCCACAAGCUUAAAUCUGGCAGAGGAGAAAUGCGAGCAGACUAUCACCCGCCUCGCAGCUUACCAACAGCAACUCCUCCCCAGCUACAACAAAAGGGCUAUGAUCCGGCAGUUUCAACCCAAAGAUCUAGUCCUAAGAAAAGCCUUCAUCACUGCCCACAGAGAAGGCUUCAAAAAGAUGAAUCACAUCUGGGAAGGUCCGUACAAGAUCAGCAGAGUAGGCGGCAAGAGUAAUUACACCAUCGCCACCAUAAAACGGCAAAAAGAUCGAAAAACAAUGGAUGGCCUACAAUCUGAAGAAGUACCAUGUGUGACUUCUCGCUACAUCAAAACCCGAAGACUCAAGAAGCUCGAUGGGCACCACCUCAAAAGCCAAGGACUAUCCAGUUGUUAUGCAGUUCCUACCUUACAGCUAAGUUCUCGUUUGUUUCACUUGUUUUUUCAAUGAGGAAUUCAGAAGAAAUCACAACUUGGCUCGGCUGCAUGCUUACAACAACUGAUCACUCCUGCAUUUCAGAAGAAAACUACGCCCUACUUAGGGACUCAUCGCAGGAAUUGCGCCCCCCCCCCGAGAGACCAACCAUGCUCUCCAGUGCGAGAGAGUAAACUAAUUGCUCUCCAGUGCGAGAGGGUAAACUAAUUCCCCGACACCCGUAUGGGUCAGCUCUCUAAGAAGAGAGGAUAAAUUUUACACUCCGAAUAUCCAGACGUGGAUGAGCCUGGCUGCUUUAGUAUAACUAGAUGCACGAUGGCUUGCGUCGGGAUUCCUAGAAGUAGCCACAAUGGUCUUUUUCAAGGCUUAGCUAACUGAAAGAUUUUGGGUCUCUUGGCCUAAUCCGUGGGGAACCGGGCCCUAGAGACGGAGGGGGCACAUUACGCAGUACGCCCUACAAACGGCUGCCCUAGAACCCUAAAGCUGCUACCGAGUGCACUAAGAUAGCCUACGAUUUCCGGAAGACUACCUACGGCUUGCCCUUCGAGCAGUAAAAUCGCGUUAGACUUAUACAACCGCACAUUCUUGUGAAAGGUUAAACAAGCUAGCGUGCAUAUACGAAGCUUUAUCCACUGCCGACAUGCUACGUAGUUGAUAAGCUUCACAUCUGCUAAGCACGAAACAACCUACACCAAGUCCUAAAAUGUUGUGAUAUUUGCUACGUAACCUACGGAAUUGGAGAAAGUCAAGGUUAGCAGCCUAGUGGUUACGUGGACUUGUCUGCUUCUGUAAGUAAGGCAUCCGGCUGCCAACCCUAUGGCUAACAACUUUGCAAAGUUCUACACCAACACCUACGACUGCAUAGGCUACGCGAGCUUGUCUACUUAUAAAAAAAGUAGCAUGCCUGCCACUAGUCUAUCAAGUCUAAAGGUUAGGGCAUGAACAAAAGAAUUAAAGAUGAAGAAAAGCGAAGGAAAACAUGUUUAUAAACAAUUAGCAAAGGCCAAAGGAGUUCAAGCAAAACAAGAGCUACAAGGAAAAACAAAGAAAAUCCUAAAGGCUACCUAAAAUACUACACUACAGCAGCUUGGACAUCCCACGACUACUCGGUCGCCACACCUUCAGCAGCCAUAACGCUCUUAGCAACGGCAUCAUCCGGCGCUUCACCCCAGGCUGCCCAAGCCUGGGCACUAACGUCUCCAACUACUUCACCAAUAGAAGCCUCAAAAGUAAAAGCAAGCAAGUCUUCCAGAGAAAUAGAGAAACCUCAAGUCUAUCCUUCUCACCCUUCAGCUGCUCAUUCUUCUCAAGCAGACUAACACGGAUGCGCUGCAGCUCAUCCACUCCAUUCAAAGCAACAAGCUCAUAAUCCAACCUCUUGAUCUCCUCGGCUGAGGAAUAAGCUUCAGCUGCCAUAAUCUUUGCCACCUCCUUGACAGCCUUGCUAUAUAUGCAUCAUAACAAGCAGAGCAAUCCUUCUAUAUUAGGUCGUAUGUUUCGCAAAGGAACUUGGGCAAACAACCUCUCUACCGCCAUCAACAAACUUGGCACAAGCGUCCAUGUCUUCAAGCAGAUCUAGUUUCAAAAGCACAAUGAUCUCAGCAGCCUCCCCAGAAGCAGGCUUAGUGGAUUUCUCACAGCUGCCCACACAAGCAGUAUAUUCCUUCCUAACAGGCGAAUCAGUCUCAGCAGCAAAGGGAGUGGGCAUUGGUGCCACUUUAGCAGCAGAGUCCACCUUACCACUCUUCAAUAGCAAGUCUCUCCAAAGGUGAACCAGACUUGGCUCAAAACGAAUGUCUUGGUAUAGACUUCGGCACUAGGGGCAUGAUAAAACCUUUACGCUGAGCAAUCUUAUCAACAAUUGUACUAGCCAUUUUCAACAUGGAAGGCACCACAUGAUCAGAUCUAGCAGCCUCAUUUUUCUUCCCAUUAGAAGAAGUCAUGCCAAUCACAGACCUCUCGACAGCAGACAGAUCAUCAUGAGCAGCAGUGGAGAAAGUCUUCAAUUUUUCUCAAUCGGUAUCUCUUGAGUAGGCGGGGAAGAUCUCUUCUUUCCAUCUUCAUUCAUAGUAGACUCCACGACAGCGAUUAGACGAGCCAAUGCAUCCGCCUUGAUCCUCUUGAUCCUCUUUACCUCCUCUUUCGGGAGCAGCCCACCUUUCCCUUGGCAAAAAGAACUAAGCAGCCAACACCAUUCACGGUACUCAGCAAAAGAGCUCAACCCAGCAUUCUAGCAGGCACGAAGCCUGCAUACCCAGCAUUCCAGCAACUUAUGAAGCCCAUGACAUCCUCAUUUCUUUUAGUCGCCAGCCUGGCCCGAGUAAGGUCCAAAAGCCCAAAAGACAUGAGCCAUGUGGCUUGCCUAGCAUUGCGCCCCAACGCCAUAAUUCGCGGCCCCAGCCGCACAAGCUGCCAUUGGCUCUAACCAAGCCAAACAGCCCAAGCAGUAGCCCCUGCCAUAAUGCCUCAUCGGUUGAUGCCGAGCCGACUCCUGGCCCUUGCCAGCCGACGUGUCGUACCACCCCGACGGCUGCCCUGCAAUAGAACUAUCCAAGAAGAAGACAAGAAAAAAAAAUUUAAUUUUUCUUACAUUGGUGUGGCACGGAGAAGAUGAAGAAAUCAACAAAAAACGGUCUUUUGCACGGGCAAGAUGUAGAAGAUUGCUAGAGGAGGGGAAACAAAUAUCCUCUAAGCUCUCUCUCUCUUGUAGGGUAUAAUAAAUCGCUCUCCAAAGUUAAUUUAAUAACCCACUUAAGGUGGACUUAAAUAGGCUUUAAGAGAAAUUUAUUUCCCUUUCCUAGAAGGAUCUAAUUUCCUAUUAAAGAGAGAAUCUACAUCAAAAUAGGAAGCAGUCCUACGUUUCCUAAAGCAAGAUGAUCUCUACACCUGCUGCUCUUUUCUGUGAGCAGCCCAACAGGUGUGGGGGCAUUUGUGGAGCCAAAAAUAUUCACAAGGCGACACGUGGAUUUUUGGAUAAAAGAGGACAAGAAUACGCUUGAGGCAUACCGGGAUUCCUACGCACGAGCAGCGGGCAAUCAUCCGUUAACCAAGUCAAAAAUGCCCAAAGAAGGUAACAAAUAAAAGUUAUUUCAUCCAUAUACUCCACACAAGGUAACCAUUCCAAACAUUCCAUUUAAAUUAGAUUAAUUGGUGAAUUAAUGGAUUUAUUUCCUAAUUAAUCCUUUAAAUCACCAAUUAAAUGACCCAUUAUGCCAAUUAAUCCCCCAUUACAUAACCCAUUACCCAAAAAUCCCAAAUGGCCGGCCACCCUUAUUGAUUUCAUCAUAUUCACCUAUUUUAAUUAGCUAGUUAAUUUGGCAAUAAUUUUAUUUGCUAAAUUAAUUAGUCAAUUAUUCCCAUAACUCCUAAAUUCAACCUAAAUCAAGAACCCUAUUCCUAUAAAUAGGCUCUCAUUCUCACCAAAAACCUAGGUCCUGACUCUUGCUAAAAUUCUCCAAAGCUCUCAAACACUUUUCUCUCAAAAUUCUAACUUUGGCAUCGAGGUUCUUCGGCCAAAGCCCUCCCCAUUCAUCGUGGGCGCGUGAGUCUCUUGGCCUUAACCUAAGGCGUUAAUUGUUUUGUAGGUGCAAUUUUGUCCAAGAUCAAGGAGGAAAAAAUUUGCAUCCACAUUGAGGUCUAACACCGUUUACGGGUGUCUGAUAACUGUGCCCUCUCUCCUAGGUAGUGUAUUUGUCCAUCACUUUGCUGCAGAAACGGCUUCGUACCAGAUGUAUUUGUCCAUCCGCUAUGGUCGGUUUAUCCCUAGGGACGAGUUGAGGUCUAACCCCCUUUACGGGUGUCUGAUAACUGUGUACUCUUUCCUAGGUACUGUGAACUACUCGUACUCAGCUAUAAUGCAACUUUUUCUAGCUUCAGAUACUCAUCAUUCAAAAAUGAAUGUUUGAUGAUCACUUUGUUUUUGUUUUCAUUCUUAUUAUUAUGUUUUAGUUAAAGGUUGCAGGGGAAUAUGGAAGAAUAUAUAUGAGAAAGAUGUGAAAAGGACAAGGAGGAUCGAGGUGGAUAGAGAAAUUGUUAUUGUCUUUGAAACAAAAAGUGUUUUCCUUUAAUUUUUUGUUUCAUAAAUUCUCCAUUUCUCCAUCAUCCCCCUCCCCAUCCCCAUAUCUUCUUUCUACAAUUUCCCCUCGCCUUUUUUCUCUCUCUUUUUAGAUUAAAAAAUAAAACAAAAGGAUUACCAAAUUGUUGCUUAAUUAAUGAAAAAUAUCGUUGCACUAAAGGAACAAGUUUGAUGAUAUUACAGCAAUCAAUCUAUUUGGUGACUCCAAUGUUUUUGAAGUUGAAUAUCAGAGUGCACAACGAACAAGACUAACAAGAAUAAUAAGAAUAUUAUUAAACAAACUGAGAAUGCCGGAACGGCUGUAAAACCCUAAGAGACUACAUUGUGAAUAACUUAUUUUCAAACUAAAUUACAAGCUCUAUUUAUAGAGCAAUAAACCUAAGAAACCCUAAUGCUUAAAUGCCAAAAAUACCCUACUACAAAAUCAAAUCAAAUCUUAAUUAAUUUCCUAAAUAAACCUAAUAAAUUCCAACACCCCCCGUCAAACUCAUGGCGGUACACGACAUGAGUUUGCCAACAAGCAGAUGUGGAUGCAAGCCUCCAAAUUCCAAUGCCGAUGCCGAUGCCGAUUUCCGAUGCCAAUUUCAAUACGAAAUUCCAUCAGUGCAAGUGCAAGAUUCCAAUGCCAGUGCAAGAUUCCAAUGCCAGUACCAGUGCAAAUGUCGAUGCCGAUGCCUAACAAACAAACAAAAAAUCCAACCAAAUAUUCAACAUCACCAGCCUCCUUCUGUUCGAUUCCUUCCUUUUUUUUUUACCUUCUGUGCGAACCAACGUGCGACCCAACAUCACCAACCUCCUUCCUUUUUUUCCUUCUGUGCGAUUCCUUCCUUUUUUUUGUACCUUCUGUGCGAACCAACGUGCGACCCAACAUCACCAACCUCCUUCCUUUUUUUCUUCUGUGCGAACCAACAUCACCAGCCUCCUUUUUUUUUUUUUCGCGAGGGUACAGUUGUGGACGGAUCCAGAUGCAGGGUGGGGUUGGGGAAUGCAGAAAUCCUAGUGCGAUGGAUUCACCAAAUUCCUUUUUUUCAAAAAACAGAAUUUUUUUUCCCUUUCUUGAAGACUACCAAGGACAAACUGAAAACCAAACCAGAAAACGUAAAAAAUCUAUGAACAAGAAUAACACAAUUUGACGGUCAAUACCGAAAUCCAAAGACAAAGAACAUAAACAGAAAUCCAAAGACAAAACGAACAAAAAACAGAGUGACCAAGAACAAAGGACACAGACCAAAGCGGAAGCGAAAGCCUAAACGAGACCCAAACUAAACCAAAAAACAAAAAGCGACAAAACAAAUUGAUACCAACAAGAACGGAUUGAACCAUAAGGAUCAAACCCGUUCUGAUACCAAGUUGAAUAUCAGAGUGCACAACGAACAAGACUAACAAGAAUAAUAAGAAUAUUAUUAAACAAACUGAGAAUGCCGGAACGGCUGUAAAACCCUAAGAGACUACAUUGUGAAUAACUUAUUUUCAAACUAAAUUACAAGCUCUAUUUAUAGAGCAAUAAACCUAAGAAACCCUAAUGCUUAAAUGCCAAAAAUACCCUACUACAAAAUCAAAUCAAAUCUUAAUUAAUUUCCUAAAUAAACCUAAUAAAUUCCAACAUUUGAAACGUGCAAGACUAUUCCAAGUAGUCAAAUUUUUAUUUGGCUUUCCCUGUGUAAUUGCAUUAAUAAUAUACAAAUGCAAAAGGAGGCACUUGUCCAUGUAUGAAAAUAUAGAAGACUUUCUGCAGAAUAAUCAGCUCAUGCCAGUAAGGUACUCUUACUCGGACAUAAGAAAGAUGGCCAGAGGUUUUAAGGACCAGUUAGGGGAAGGUGGCUAUGGUUCUGUGUACAAGGCAAAGCUUCGCAGUGGUUGUCUUGUAGCCAUCAAGAUGUUGGGUAAGUCGAAAUCUAACGGGCAGGAUUUUAUCAAUGAAGUUGCUACCAUUGGAAGGAUUCACCAUGUUAACGUGGUGCAACUUAUUGGUUUUUGUGUCGAGGGUUCAAAGCGUGCUCUUGUAUAUGACUUCAUGCCUAAUGGGUCUCUUGAUAAGCACAUAUUUUCUCAACAAGGAGUUAUCUUCUUAAGUUCCGAGAAAAUGUUUAAAAUCUCACUUGGAGUGGUUCGUGGUAUUGAAUAUUUGCUUCGAGGAUGUGACAUGCAAAUUUUUCACUUCAACAUCAAGCCUCACAACAUUCUUCUCGGCGAGAACUUUCUUCCGAAGGUUUCUGAUUUUGGGUUAGCAAGGCUAUGCCCAUUAGAUAAUAGCAUUGUGUCUUUGACUGCAACGAGAGGAAUCAUCGGAUACAUAGCUCCAGAGUUAUUCUACAAAAAUAUUGGAGGUGUUUCGUACAAAGCUGAUAUCUAUAGUUUUGGGAUGCUACUUAUGCAAAUGGCUAGAAAAAGAAAGAACUUAAACGCAAAUAUAGAAUGCUCGAGCCAAAUAUACUUUCCGACAUGGGUUUCUAACCAGCUGAGGGGAGGAAAUCCGAGAUGCUACAGAGGAGGAAAAGAAAAUCAUUAAGAAGAUGAUUAUUGUGGUGUUGUGGUGCAUACAAAUGAAGCCUAGCGACCGUCCUUCUAUGAAUAAGGUUGUAGAGAUGCUUGAAGGAGAAAUCGAGAGCCUUCAAAUGCCUCCAAAGCCUUUCUUAUACCCACAACAAAUGCCAAAGGUAGUUACUGGCAGCAGUUCAAGUACCGCAUCAGCUGCAUCGAGGACAACGACAACAUCUACAAAAAUUGUUUUGAUUGCAGAUGAAAAUUCACACAGUUAAUAUAGCUAGUAGCAAUGUUGAUGUGCAAAGGAACAUUUAGUGUACCCAAAAGCACAAAUAGACCGACACGCCCCGACCCUGAUAUUCUCCGAAUACCAGGACUGACACGUGCUGGCCGACACCCGGGGGUGACGAAAGCCAUUAAUUGAGACAAAAGCUAAGAAUAAGAAAUAAAUAAGGGUUAUGAAUUUAAAAUACCAUGAAUUAAUAAAUUAGGAACGUGUUCAGAGCAUACAACUAAACCUAGUCACUAACAAAAAUUAAGAUAAGAUUGAAUGAACAAAAGAGUGGGUCCUACCCCGAGAUGACUCGACGAUGCUGCUGCGGAAGUGUCUUGACGCCGGGAUUAGGUGCCUUGAUUCUAAGUCCUGAAUGGGGGCGCAAAACAAAGAUGAGUGGACCAAGUUUAUAUAUAUAUAAUAAUAAUAAAACAGUUCUCAAGUUACUAACCCCCACAGUUUAUAUAAUGAAAACUACUAGCAUAAUAAGUGAUGGAUUUAAUAAAAAUCCUAGCAUGCCAAAAAUAUCUCAAAAGCCAUAUAUCGCGGAAAAGCAUAGCGGAAAUCGAAACAUCAAACGUCUCAUAAAUCGUCUCGUAAACGCGGUGUGCUGCUAGUAGCUUGCCGUUGAAUAAAUAUAACUCCUGGCCAAUGCCUGCCAAAUAGCUCAACUCUCUCUCCAACUCACUAGUCUCUCCCUGCCCGCCAAUUAUUUCUUCCAGCCAUGAUAAUACCAGGCCGGCAUCUUACUAAAUAGGCCUCUCCAAUCGGUCCAAUGCCUCUCUACCAAUCCUAUUGUAAAGGAAUUAUUUUUCCCAGCCUAAAAUGUUCAGGCUAGUCUUAACACCUCUCAUAAAUAAACAAGCAUAGAUACCGAUCAAUCGUCUACACUAUAAAGAGGGGAAUUUCUCUAAAUAAGAGAUAGUUAUGGUUUUUAUAAAAUAUACCAUAUUAUGCAAUAAAACAAUUUUAAUUCCUCACCAAAUUCAUAGCUUCAAUAAAUUCAUUUUUCAGUUCAAUAAUUUAAUCAUAAUCAUAAAAUCAUAUGCUAAUUUCAAUUAAAUUAUAAAAUCAUGUAAUUUUAGAAGGGGUCCACUCACAAAUAUUCCUUAGCAGAAGAUUCGCGCGGAUAAGGAUAUAGAAUUUCUCCACUAGCAAUUUUACCUAAGAACAAGAAUGCACUAAUUAAAUAAAAGGAUUUUCUAAAAGAUUGGGUUGAACUAAAUAAAAUAAGGGAAUUGGGUUUGGAUGGGUUUACGUUUUAAUGGGUUUUAGGAACCUAGGGCUUUUUGGGUUAAAAGGGUAUUAGGGUGAGAAAAUUGGGGUUUGGGCUUUAGCCCAAACACAUACACACACUACAAUUACACACACACACACGAGCACAAAGGCCUUAAAGCCUUAUAAAAAAAACAGGGCUUUAAGCCCUUGGUUUAAACCGGCCCAAGGCCAUUUUAAAAUAAGGCCCGAAGCCUUUAGGGGUUUUAAAUACAAAAUGAACAAAAUUUAAAAACUAAAGGGGGCUGGGGGUUUUGGGCUAAGACAACACGGGCCUAAGGCCCGAGGGUAUUUAAAACGGCCUGAAAGGCCUAGGUUUGCGGAAGAAGAAAGCCCGAGCUGCUACAGCUCCGGUCACCUGAAAACGAGGGUUCUAGACCCCGAUCUAAGUACGAAAAUGAAGAGCAAGAUGAGGGGAAAAGAUUUAUACCUUCCAAAAACCGUAACUCGAUCGGAGAUGACUGGAAAAAGCUCCCAAAGUCCACGGUUCGCCGAAAAAUGGGUGUGCUCACCCACAAUGAUUUCCGAAGCAAAAUCUACGUAAAAAUGGAAGGUUCAAGCUUCUAAAUCACAACCAAACAUCAAGGUAACAACGAGAAUGAGAGAUUUGUGAUUUACCUCAACGAAAAGAAAGAAAAUGCUCACCGGAGCUUUGCUCCGUGUUGUUGAACUCGCAGGGCAGGGUCUCUGGGCUCGUGGUGAGCCUCUCCUGAUGGUGACUCGGUUCUAGUGAGUCCAGGGGGAGAGAGAGAUGCAAGGUCGAGGGAGAGAGAGAUACACGGGAGAGCUGAGAGAGCUGAGAGAGUGUAAGGGAGACAGAACUGCGAGAGAGAGAGAUGCGGGAGAGGUGAGGGAGAAGAGAGAACUGAGAGAGGAGAGUGGGAAACCGGAAAACACAAAAAAUAAAACAAGGUGGGCCCCACAGGCUCACCAAUUAAGGACUAAAACCAUUUUUUAAAUAUAAAAGAGGGUUGGGGUGUUUCAUAGACUACCUGAAUUUAAUGGCAUUGAUUGCUUUCUGGUUUUCAGUUUUUAGCUUUGGCACGUACAAGGAUUAAUUUAUGCACAAAUCGUCUCUCGAUUAGUAUGGAAAAGCUUUGGAUAUAUAAUUUGUGUAUGAGCAAAGUUCGAUAUCUAUAACUUAUGUUGAAGAAUGCAAUCCUACAUAAGAAACUAAACAAAUUACACAGCUUAUAUCGAAUGGUUCCACUUCCAAUUGCAUAUGAGAAGCUUUAAGAGGAGGAGAAGGUACCUGAUCAAGGCGUGGCUAUCUUUGAUUAUUAUCUCAGGAUGUGCAUUUGAAUUCAAAUUAACUUAGCAAGGUAGAAUUAAUAUUUAUUCAUAAAAAGACUAAAGCAGAUCGCCUUACAUAUGCGACCCAAUUAAUAUUUAUUGCAAUCAAUAGGCUUAAAAAAGAGUCUCUUUCGUUUGUGCCAUGUUGCCAAAGACCGCGAUUUCUCAACGAAUGGGUCUGAAAGCAAAGCAAACAACAUCCAUUGACGCUCUUAUAAGAAAGUGUUGAAAGCUUGUAACUUCACAUCUGCACCAGUGAAAUGCGCAGUGAUUAUCGGAGCUUUGAUAGUCGAUUUGGUCUUGUAGCAGAGGCAUAGGAAGCGUUGAGGGGUCAGUCAGACGUCUUAAUCUUAUGGACUUGCUCACUGUCAAUUCCAGCUUAUUGUACAAGUCCUCCGGCAACAAUGUCAGGGUAGUACCUGAAUCAACGAUAAUAUUGCCCUUUGCUGGAGCUAAUGAAGGGUUCAGUGAACUGCCCGACACUCAUUGCUUCAAGCCCUAGAUAAUAUAAAUAUUGGAGUGUGCUAUCCACACAUCUCUUUUUACUUUUCACACACCCCUUGUUAAUUCCUGUCCGUUGAUCUUCUUUAAUUCAUCCGAUCUGACAGCCGAAAACCAAAAAGGUAUGGGAGAAGUAAAAAAAGGUGUGUGGAUAUCACACCCCUAAAUAUUUUGAGCCUCCAGAAGAAAGUAAUGGGGUAGAAAACGCUGUGGCGCCAGAAACCACAGCUUCAUUGCCGUAGCUCAUUGUGCUUGAUGAGUUGAAUCCUGAAAAGGCAUGCACAAGGCAGUAGGAAAAUUUCCCGUCGAUUGAAGAACUCAUCUGCGAGAUGGGGGACACAGGUCCACGUCCCAACCGUGCCUGAUCCAUUUCUGUUAAAGAGGCCUCCAUUGUCUUGUCCACAACCAAAUAUCAUUUGUGGGAAUGAAACUGGUUGCCCAGCAGUGGAGUUAAAUGUGACACUUUCUGUGGGUCUAAAACUUCCUUGCUGUAGGAUCUGCCUCCGUAAGAAACUGUGUAAUUACAAACUUCAGCUGUGUCAGGAGGAGAAGAAGUUCCGGUCACAAAUUUGCAUUGGCUUGAGUUCCGAGGAACUUGUGUGUAAGUUUUAGAAUUCUUUGGAUCGAAAGUUGGCGCUUUCUGCUUGUAACAAUUGAUGCAGGGUAUGCAUUGCGUCCAUGUAAGAUCACUACCUGUAUCUGCAGCGCCUAAGAUUUCAAGAGGAGGUGUACCUACUGAUAUUUUCAUGAGAUAUUCACCCGUGUCUGAGACUAUUGUAGAUCUAGGCAAGUUUGAAGGUGAUGAAGUUGGGUUCAAGCGAUUGACAAGGUUAAUGGAACACCGCAAAGCAUAGUCACACGUUGCAAAGGCGUUAAUUCUAAAGGAUCAUAGAGAGGAGAGACUGGAGAGUCGCAGUGAAUAAGUUGUAUGCUGAAGCUGCCAUUGCGAUCAGCUUGAAUAAGAGAGAACUGGGAGAAAUAUGGAGCAGAUAAUGUGAGUGCUAUUACGGAGGAGAAAGAAGGGAUAGCACAGUGGCUCCCAUGGUUCUCCGAGAAGCUUGUACGAAGUUAAGAUAUCAAAUUACAGUAUCAGUGAUGUCUUCGAUUUGAGGUGCUUCUGUGUGACUGUCCAGAAUCCAGAUCCUAACUCCAUGAGCAGUGAAAAGUGCAACCCUUAUUCAAAGUCUAAUUUAUUGUUUUUGCUAUAAUAUUCAAUGCCUUAGUUUAGAUAACGUGGCAAGGGACUUGUAGCUGGAUUAAGCAUUGCAUCCAAGGUUGUGUGUUCAAUUCCCUUCCCUUGAUAUCGCUUGUAAAAAAUGACAUAGUUUUUAGACACAAAAGAAGUGAAACAUGUGUCGAAAGAAACUUGAGCUACCACACUCCUCACUGCCUCAUUAUGAAAAGAAGAGGGAUUUUAGACACAAGUGAAUAGGGCAAACUAGACUAGAAAUGCAGGGCACAGUGCAAAAUUAUAUACCCUUGCAUCUUUUAGUAAAGAAAUUUGGCUAAAAUUAACAACGAACAUAAACCGCAGGGGCCGAAUUUCACCUUUGUAAACUACAUGUAGCAUUUAUACUUUUGGCCUAAUAUAACCAAAGAAACCACCUUCAGGCUUGAAGGUAUUGCAAAUGAGGCAGGAGGUCAAAACCUCUAAGCCCCCAAGAUAAGCUGAUCCACUAAGAAUUCCUAUAAAUCGUAUUACCCCCAAAACCGCUCAAUUGGCCUCCUUCCAUUUAAGCUAAUUUAAUCUACAGUAGUUUGUAUAUAACCUAAAGAGAAAAUUUCACGAGCUCAAACUAAAUUGCCUCCAUGCUUUCAAACACUAUCACGAAAAAACAGGCAACAAUUAGAGCUCCCAUUUGCUAUACCUCUGUAAUCUUAAGGAUCUUCGGAUUCUUCAUCCUUAUCUUCUGCAUUGCCCCGCCACCUAACUGGCCCAGACCAUCAUAAUCAAUUGUUCCCUACAAAAUACAAAACUUUGCUUGGAGGAUCAUAGAAUUCAUCGCAAUCAACUUGCCUAAAGACACCCCAAGUUAAUUUGAACAAAGAUUUAGAGCACUGUGACGAUAAAAAUUAGAGUUACUCUUUACGAAGGAAUUAGCACGUGUUUUAACAAAAGUAAGUUUCACAAAGCAGCAUUUUUGCAAUUGUUAAUUGCCUUUGGAAAAUUGAAAAGUAAGUCAUAUGAUAAAGUUCAGAGCAUAAACUUACAGUAACCACCAUAGGAGCAAAUGGUUUCGCAUCUUCUGGCUGUUCAACUGGAAUUGGUGGAUAGUUCACACUUUGAACUAGGAAUCUUGACUGCCAUUCAGAACUAAAAGUUUGCAUGCACGUAGACACCAGAAAGUUGAGUAGCUAUGGAUAAAUUAAACCGUAAAGAUAUGAACCUCAUCUGUCCACUCAAGAGCAAGAUCAUCUGCAUCAGGACACUUCCCUAUCCAAAUGACGAUGUUCCUGUAUUCCACAGUAUACCAAAACCACAUAUUCAACAGUAAUUCAAACAAUGAACAUAUGAACAAGAAUCCAUCAAGGAAGACAUGGAAGGGGCGGUCCUCAGGUUCAGAGAUGGAUGGAGAUGGCAAAAGAUGUACUGGUACAUAAAUGUCAUAAAAAAAUCCAAGGGACACUGCCAGUUAAAGAUUGAAAAUCAGACCAUGGACUUGGAGUAGGAGUUUGUCAAUGCAUUGCUGCACAAGGUGCAUGUGUAGUGAUAAUUACUUGCACCAAAGACAACCUAAGAAGUAAUGAAACCCAAGAAUAGAUCAGUAGAUAUAAACAUAAGAUCAUUAGAUCACAACUUUUAGUAGUAGCUAAUUAAAAUGAAGAGUGCAAUGAGAAUUAACAGAAAAUCCCACCUUCAGCUGCUAAGAGCAAACUAGAAUUCAUCAUCAGGCACAAAUCCCCUUUGAAGCAUUUCAUCAUGGAACCGAAAUGCCUCCUUCAAAUUAUCCUUGGUCACAUGUCCAUUUAUCAUUGACGUAUAAGUGGAUCUAUCAGGUUUUACACCUUUCUCAAUCAUCUUCCGCAAUACUAGCUCAACUUCGUGCAUUCUACCUUGCCAACAGAACCCAUUUAGAAAUAUUGUAUGUAAACUGAUCCGAUAAUAUCCCUUGCUUUUCCAUCUCCUUAACUGAGGAAAAAGCUUUGUCCAGAUUCUCUUCUUUUACAUAACCAUUAAUCAAAGUGUAGUCAGUAAUACUGUCGGGAAGAAUUCCUCUUGAAAUCAUUUUGACUAUAAGAACUCAUCCGCCUUUGUUGUGUCACCAGAGCGGCAAUAACCUUUAAUGACAGCGUUACAUGUAACUAGAGUGGGGUUUGAUACCUUCUUCAAUCAUCUGGUCCCAUAAACUCAACGCCUCAUGCACGUUCCCCAUGCUACAAAAUCCAUUAAUUAGAAUGCCAUAUGAAAUGUGGUUGGGUAGUAUCCUUCUUGAAACCAUGUCACCCCAUAACUCCUUAGCUUUAUCCAUUCCACCUAGUUUGCAGAAGCCAUCAAACAAUGUGUUGUAUGUGACUAUAUCAGGCUUAAUAUUUCUUUUUGUCAUUGCAUCAAACAGAUUGAGAGAUUUGGUCAUAUUCCCAUGCUUGCAAUAACCAUGAAUGAGUGUUGUGAAAGUAUAAAAACCAGGAAUGACACCCCUUUCCACCAUUUCAUUGAAAAAACUCAUCUGCGUCAGAAAGCAUCUUCUCCCAACACAGUCCAUUUAAAAUUGUAUUGAACGUUACCACAUCAAUAGCACAACCUUGCUCAAGCAUUUCAUCAUGCAACUUCAAAACCUCUAACACCAUUCCCUUUCUACAAUAUCCAUCUAUAAGGAUAGUGUAGAUCACAUUAUCCGGAACCAAGCCUGCCCCUUUCAUAUCUCAAAAAUAUACUAAUGCACGAUCAAUAUUUUUAUUCCUCGAAAAAAACCCAAUAAGUGAACUGAAACUAACUAUAUCAGGAACAACACCUAUGUGACAUUUCAUGGAAGAUUUCCUCAGCCUCUAAAAUAUCAUCUUUUCUACAGCUCUCAACAAGCAUUGGAUUAUACAUAGUAGUAUCAGGAUUCAACCACCUUGCAACAUUUCAUACAAAAGUUCCUUUGCUCUCACAUAAUUUCCUACUUUACAUAAGCCAUUUAUGAUAGCAUUGUACGUGAAAAGCUCAGGUUUCAACCCCUUAGAAGACAUAGAGUUUUUUAACUGAAAAGCUUCUUCAGGAAGCCCUUCACGACAAUAUGCAUUGAUUAGUGUAUUAUAUGUCACAAUAUCUGAAAACAACCCCUUCUCUUCCCUAUCUGAUAAGAAGAAUUUAACGCUAUCAAUUUUGCGAGCUUUGCAUAAGGCAUUGACCAUUAUAUUCGGUGUAUAAACAUUUAACUGAAUCCCACUGCUAACAACUUCCCCAUAUACGACCCAUGCCAAAUCAAUCCACCCGACCUUCACAAGCCCGCCAAGAGGACUAUUGCAAGCAUUUAUCAAAACACAAACUCCCUUGCUUCUAAACAGCUGAAACGCCUCAAAUCCUUCUCUCAACUUCUUAGCCUGCACAUAAGUUCUAACAAACAUAUCAAAGACCAAAGAACUUGAGCCGCAACUGCUAUAAGUUGAAACCAAAGAGUCUGCUACUUCAACACACGAAAUGCCACUCUUUCUAACCAUUCUAAGAAUCAGAGCUUGUGCAUCCGACGCUGUUCGACCACGCACCAACAUGUGAAUCAUUGCACUCAAAGACAGUGAUGAAUGCUUAAAAUCAGGACUAUUUAACAGAAUCAAAUCAAUAAACUUCAGACCCAGUUGCAAAUUUUCACGGCAGCAAGAAAGAACAACAACAAUAAGAGACGGGUUUAACCGAAACAGAAAGCUGCGCAAAGAGGUGAGGUUACCUUGCUUCAGACCUAAUAAAAUCUUUUCCACCAAAAGAGAAUCUGAUAAAGAAGCUGAUGGCUUGUACUACUACAGGGUUCUUGUGAUUGCAUACUUUUAAGACCAAGUUCCAGGUCAUUUGAUGGACAAUAUGCUAAACAAUGAGGUCUAUGAGAGUGAAAGAGUGAGUGUUCGUUGGUUUUGUGAAGGUUGUGCGGGUUCUCGGACCUACAUUCUCAAAAUUAGCCAAUGGGUUUGCAUGUUUGAAACUAUAAUUUUGUUUGUUAUUAAUUUUAUUCUAAGAUGGGUGGAUAUAGUGAUGACAUUAUCCUGACGGUAUGUUAUCUUUCAUCUAAAAUAAUCAUCUUUUAUCUUCAUCACUCACUUAUUCUCUGAAAUCUCUAAUAUAGGAUUGCAUUUAUCAACACUCCUCAAUAGAACCUGUCUUUUAUGGGCCACAUGUGCAACCAACACUCACUUUUUCUCAAGUAGCACAAGAUUGUCAUGAAAUUGUCGUUAGGUUGGGCCGGAUCGAGAAGAACCCGCUUGAUACAAUUCAAGAUAUAAGCCUAGUGGCUCAUUAUUAAUCACACCCAUAUUUUCCUAACAUAAUCACAUGUACAACUUUGCAGGCGUUCAGUUUUAUCACAAUCAACCUUAGUGAAAAGGGGAGACAUUUAAUAUAAUUUGUUAUUUAUUCUGCCAAGUGUUCGUUGUGAAUUAAUACGAAUUAAUAAUUUGGUCAAGUUGACUGAAUUGUAAUCAACUUUAUAACUAAUAUAUUCUAAACAUUCAAUGGAUAUGCUUCCUGCGGGUUAGAAUUUCUUGAUCAAGCAUGCGUCAUUGGAGCCGAUUCAAACGUUGCUAUAUACUAUCACCUUCAGAAAAUAGAUUUCUAUUACUAUCAGACAUGCAUAUAAAAAUUCAGUUCAAAUAUCAUGUCUCCAUCUUAUGUUUGUUAGCUAUUUCCUUUCUAGCUAGGUCAUCAUCAGUUAAACUUUCAUGAAACUUAUUCUCAUUAAAUUAUCAAUGAUAACAUUGAAUUUCAACCCCCUUACCAAAACAAAAGUUUUGUUAUACAUUUCAUCGAAAUUGCCAUUGAGGUCACAAUACGUAUUGAGAUGUGAUACUAAAACACAUAUAAAUUGUAGUUGAAAAAACAGCAAUGUCACUCAUGUCAAGUUGAAGGUAAUAAUUUUCUUUUUUUUACAUUGAAUAAUCAAAAUUUCUUUGCUCUAGAUGUGAUCGUUGAAGAAUGCUCAAUCUUACUUCUGAAAUUUAGAGAGAAAAUAAAAUAAAACUUAUAGGGAAUGGUUUUACUAUUAAUUGAACCGAGGUCUAUCGGAGGAUCAUCCUCGUCAACAGAUGUGGUGCCGUGCAUAGGAGGCGGCAUAAUUACAUUGUGGUUGUGUUAAUGUAGCCAUAAUAGUGGUAAAAUGAUUUGGUCGAGAAGUUCUUGAGUUCAACUCUCAAUGAAAGUACCAGUUGUUGAAACCAAAUAUGUGUGUCGUCGUGUGUGCUGGAGAUGCUUAAGCUCGUUAACUUGUAAAAGAACAAACGACUGAAAGGCAAGCUAGAGACCGAAGGGGUGUGUGUCUGUGUGAUGGCUAAAGGUUAUCCGACGUCAAGUCAGUAAGCAAUAUUAGGACUCAAGUAGUGGGUAAGAGAAUAAGUGUGCAAAGAUAGCGUUACCAAACAUGCCAUUUUUAGGGUGUAUUUAGACAAAUAGAGGAGAGGACCUUUUAGGAUAGUAAAAUCCUUAUUAAACCAGAAGAAUCCCAGAGGAUAUCUAGGAAGUAGAUAUUGAAUCCUCUUAGGAGUGUAUUUACUUGCGGUGCAUGUCAAUCCUUAGAUGGUAAGGAAUCCAAGAUUAUAGAAAACCUGAUGAUUCCAUACUGGAUUGGGUUCUUGAAUCUUAUGGAACAAGCAUGGUUUAUUUCAAUGAAGUCGAUGGACUUCGCCCGCUGAUUCCAAAACAAGAUGAUUGUGGCAUCACUGAACCGUUUAUCAGCUCUACAAUGGAGGGUGUUGAGUCUAUGGCUGGACUACUAAGGUAGACGUCUUCCAAUCCGUCUUACUCUGGCUCUGAAAAAUCAUGAUCCCACAGUAAACAAUCAAAACUACUAGUUCAUUUUUAUAAGAAUAUUACUUGUAUAAAUGUCGAAUCCAUCAAUGAAUAAGUUUCAGAUAAAAAAAAAUGCGAUAACAUAAAUUUGGACGGCAAUUUCAUAAUACAUUCAUUAAGCUUGAUUUACUAGUACAAGUUAUUAUUAAAUAACAAACUGAUAUACCAACUACUGUAUGUCUCUUUCGCAUUGUUUAAAUAAUGAAAAAUAAUAAUAGAUAAGUUAAUACUAGAAAACUUCAAUAAUUCCCUGCCUAACAAAUAUAAUAGUAAGUUUCAUGUAACUCAAACUUCAUUAGCUAAGCAUGGAAGAAAAAAAAAAGUUAAUAAAUAAAUUUCUCUGUGAUGAUAAUCAAGACUUCAUACUCAAUGUAAUCAGGAAUAAAAUCAUUUAAUAUAAGUUGUCAUUUAUUUUUUGAAAUUUCUGAUAUAAGAUUGUAUUAUUCAACGCUCCUCCUCAAUAGCGCCUGUCUUUGUGGGCCACAUGUGCAACCAAUUUCACAUUAGUAGCCUUUUAUUUUGUUUCUUUCUCUCAAGUAGCGGUAGAUUGUCAUAAAAAUUGUCGUUAGCUUGGGCCGGAUUGAGGAGAAUUUGCUGGAUACCAAUUCAAGAUGUAAGGCUAGUGACUCAUUAUUAAUCACAUUGAUAUUUUCCUAACUUAAUCACAUGUACAGCUUUGUAGGUGUUGAGUUUUAUAACAAACGACCUUAGUGAAAAGUAGAGCCAUUUAAUUGUCACGUCCUAAUCCCGACAUAUGUCCAGGACCGACACGUGACAUCAUCAAAUACACAUAAAUCUAACAUACCUUGCUUCCGGGAUAUGUACCAAACUCAACUCAUGCCUCAAAAUUUCCAAUAUCAUUCACUAACCACCAAUGCGACAAUUCCAAUCCCAUAACAUCAUUUCCAACAUCCACAAGUAUAGGCACUUGGACCUAAUACCUAAGCUCUAAUACCACCAAAAGUUGUCACCAACAAUCCCACGGCGCUGUCGCCGCCAUACACCAUGAAACGGCUUGAAUUGCAUCGAAUUUUUGGGUGAUCAACUAGGGAAGAGAGGUGUAAUGGUGUUUGUAGGUGGUGGGAGGUCAUAAAACACCGGAAAUUGGACUGAAAAACCCGUCAGAAUUGGCAGCAGGGGCGCGGGUCGGGUCGGGGUGUACGGUUCAAAGGGAAAAAGGUCCGAGUUUAGUGCUUCUCAAAAGUUGUCACCAAGAAUCCCACGAUGUUGUCGACACCGUACAACAUGAAACGGCCUAAAUUGCAUUGAAUUUUUGGGCGAUCAACUAGGGAGGAGAGAUGUAAUGGUGUUUGUAGGUGGUGGGAGGUCGUAAAACACCGGAAAUUGGACUGAAAACCCAUUGGAAUUGGCAGCAGGGGCGCAGGUCGGGUCGGGGUGCAGGGGCCAAAGGGGAAAAGGUUCGGUUUAGUGCUUCUCACUUCCCUCAUUUCUCUCCGUGAUCUCCCUCCUGAUUGGGUACUCAACCUUUCCUCCUCCUUCUGAUUCAUCCGCCCCCUCAUUUUCUCUCCUUUCCUUUCCAUCUCAGCCACAUAAGUGGCAUCACAGAUAAAUGCUCCAGCCAUCUGGAGCCUUCUAGAUUAGGUUAAAAUUAUAAAAAUAUCAUUGACUUUAAACGUUAAUAACUUCAUUGUUAUAACUCCGUUUCACGAACGGUUUGAACCUACCCAUUCAUGAGAUCGAGCUAUAUUCAAAAAUAUAAAUUGUGACCUUGAAAGGUCUACAAAUUUUAAAUAAUUAUUUUCCAAACUUCAAACUUCGUAACUAGUUAGAUUAAAAUCUAAAUUCCAACAAAUUAAAAUAAAUUUUCGAAAAAUAUUAUAAAAUCUCAAUAAUAAAAAUACGUAUAUUAUUUCACAUUAAUAUAAUUUGUUAUUUAUUCUGUCAAGUGUUCAUUGUGGAAUAAUACGAAUUAAUAAUUUGGUUAAGUUGACUAAAUUAUAAUAAACUUUAUAACUAUAUCUAUUCUAAAUAUUCAAUGGAUAUGCUCGCUGCGAGUUAGAAUUUCUUGAUCAAGCAUGCGUCAUUGGAGCCGAUUCAAACGUUGCUGUAUACUAUCACCUUCAGAAAAAAGAUUGCUAAUACUAUCAGACAUGCAUUUAAAAAUUCAGUUCAAAUAUCAUGUCUCCAUCUUAUGUUUGUUAGCUAUUUCCUUUCUAGCUAGGUCAUCAUCAGUUAAACUUUCAUGAAACUUAUUCUCAUUAAAUUAUCAAUGAUAACAUUGAAUUUCAACCCCCUUACCAAAACAAAAGUUUUGUUAUACAUUUCAUCGAAAUUGCCAUUGAGGUCACAUUACGUAUUGAGAUGUGAUACGAAAACACAUAUAACUUGUAGUUGAAAAAACAGCAAUCUCAUUCAUGUCUAGUCGAAGGUAAUAAUUUUCUGUUUUUACAUUGAAUAAUCAAAAUUGCUUUGCUCUAGAUGUGAUUGUUGGAGAAUGCGCAAUCUCACGUCUGCUACUUAAAAAAAAAAAAAAAAAAAAAUUACAACGUAUGGUCAAUGGUUUUACUAUUAAUUGUAUCGCGGUCUUUUGAGAUCAAAUCUAACACCUUGUUGGAAUGGGUAAAUAAUAAAAUUAGAAAUAUCAAUGUGAUUAGUAGUAGACCGUUGCUCCGACUGUGACAUGUUGAUAGUGAUUCCUUCAUCUGUAUAACACUCAACCCACAUUGACUUGAUUUUGGAAUUAGAUAUCUGUGAUCUAAACUGUUAUUGCAUGGUUUGACCAAGGAGCUAGAUUUAUUGUAAAAAAUAAACUAUCAUAGAAAAUCUGCAACAGUACGAGAAAUUUGUAAUGGAUAUUUUAGGUAGAGCAUCUUCAAUCAUUAUUAUUAUUUUCUAAUUUUAACAAAAAAAUUACUAGAGAAUUAGUUUAGAAAAUACUUUAAUAUUAACUAAAAAAGUAAAAGAAAUUAAAAGGGAGAAAAGGAGAAAAAAUUGGUUGUAAGGUCAUCUCCAACGGAAAUGUUAAAUAUAACUCCAUCCAAAAUUAUAGUCUUGUAAAAAAUUAUUUUUAAAUGAACAAUAUUAGGUCAUAUUCAUAUACCAUCUCCAAUUGAAAGAGCUAAACAUAGUCCCUCAAUAACUUAUUAGUUUUAAGUUUAUACUUUAAAUUUAUUGGCUACAUUUUGAUGUGUCAAAUCUAGCCGUUGAAUUUAAAUUAAAUGUUGCAACUAAGGAGUUGGGCCCCCAAAAAGAGGCUAAGAGCCUGAUGCUUUUUUGGCCAAAUAAUGACAUUGUGGGCUGCAUAUAAUUACAUAAUCAUCAGUUGAAGGUGAAUUUUUGGACAAAUUAAGCUUUUUUUUUACUUUUGAAUCUUUAGUCCUCUCCAUUGAAAAUGACCUAAGAAGCUAAAAAGAAGAAGACGGCAUAUGUAACACAAAAACUAAACUCCUUGGAACAGAUAAACCCCAUAUUACAAAAAAUAUAAAAAGAUCCAAUGAAAUAAAAGAUAAACGUAAUUUUUAACUAUCUUAAUAUGAUAGCACUUGACCUCUCAUAGCAAAUUUUAUGACUAGUACAACACUUGAACGACUUGCAUAGAGAAUAUAGUUGUAUUCAGUCAGUUUCGGAAAGGAUUAGCAGGUACGGGUAGAUUGUCACCCUCUCCUUCUAACAUUUGAAUAACAACUUUCAUGGAAGGGCGAUCUAUUGGGUGCCAUUGGACGCACCAUAGACCCACAAUAGCUAGCUUCUUUGCAGUUUCAGCAUCUCCUCCGUCCUCAAUGUGAAUCCGUAGGUCGUCCCCUUGUUCUAAAAGGUUAUAAAUCCAUUCUGGGAAGUAGACUUCGCUGCUGGUGGAGUCCUCUUCCAUGAACUUAAAGUUUUUUCUUCCCCCGACCAUUUCCAGCAGCAACAUUCCAAAGCUAUAGACAUCUGACUUGUAGGACACGUUUCCAAAGUUCCUAGAAAACACUUCGGGCGCAAUGUAGCCAAUGGUCCCUCUGAUGGUAGUCAUGGAUACUGCGCUUUGAUCUCUAGAGCACAACUUGGCGAGACCAAAAUCGGAAACUUUUGGGGUGAAAUUCUGGUCUAGCAAAAUGUUGUGUGGUUUGAUAUCGAAAUGGAGGAUUCGGAGGUCACACCCUUGAUGAAGAUAUUCAAUUCCUUUGGCUAUACCUAAAGCAAUCUCAUGCAACUUAUCCCAACCAAGGAAAGCGCUUUUACUAUCUGCUGAUGAUAAGAUAUUCUGUAGUGAACCAUGUGGUAGAUAUUCAUACACAAGAGCUGUUGUGUACCCAUCAGCACAAAAACCAACCAAGCGAACCACAUUGACAUGGUGGACUCGACCCAUUGUUCCGACUUCAUUUAUAAAAUCUUCUCCUUUUUCAUUAGAAUUGUUGAGGAUUUUCACAGCUACAAGUAAGUCG